Molecule: transfer RNA, 85 nt
Filed under: Felis catus (domestic cat)
Lineage: Eukaryota; Metazoa; Chordata; Mammalia; Carnivora; Felidae
Rfam family: tRNA
About the family: Transfer RNA (tRNA) molecules are approximately 80 nucleotides in length.
Source: Rfam by way of RNAcentral
GCCUGGGUGGCUCAGUUGGUUGAGCGUCCGACUUCGGCUCAGGUCACCAUCUCUCUGGCUGUGAGUUCAAGCCCCACAUCAGGCU